AGGAACUUGGUGACUCUGCCCUCUGCCCCAGGACUGCCCUCUCACAAGUCCAGCCGGCCCUACACUGUGUAUGAGCUGGAGCAGGUGCGACAGCACUGCAGGAGUGAGAGGAUCCCAGAAAUGGCCGAUUACUGUUACCUGUCCCGUAACUGUGGGGGCAGCCACACCCUCACCUACCCCAGCCGCCGCUACACCCGCCUUCAGCACAUCACCCAUCUGAUCCAGAGCGAAGAGGAGAGUCGGCCCGUGUCCACUGGACCGCCCACACAGGCAGCAGAGGUGGACAUCUUAGGUUUGGAUGGACAGGUCUACAAGGGCCGAAUGAGCAG
This 329-nucleotide long non-coding RNA is filed under the name Sinocyclocheilus anshuiensis. RNAcentral's name for it is "lncRNA (ENSSANG00000001672.1)". Lineage: Eukaryota; Metazoa; Chordata; Actinopteri; Cypriniformes; Cyprinidae. The record is from RNAcentral.